RNAcentral lists this transfer RNA (70 nucleotides) under Epinephelus sexfasciatus (sixbar grouper). Its description in RNAcentral is "tRNA-Pro". It matches the Rfam family "tRNA". Rfam says of the family: Transfer RNA (tRNA) molecules are approximately 80 nucleotides in length. Their secondary structure includes four short double-helical elements and three loops (D, anti-codon, and T loops). The record is from RNAcentral. Lineage: Eukaryota; Metazoa; Chordata; Actinopteri; Perciformes; Serranidae.
CAAAGAGUAGUUUAGCUUAGAAUUCUAGCUUUGGGAGCUAGAGGUGGGAGUUAAAAUCUCCCCUCUUUGA